RNAcentral lists this transfer RNA (71 nucleotides) under Arcovomer passarellii (Passarelli's frog). Its description in RNAcentral is "tRNA-Val". It matches the Rfam family "tRNA". From Rfam's summary of the family: Transfer RNA (tRNA) molecules are approximately 80 nucleotides in length. The record is from RNAcentral. Lineage: Eukaryota; Metazoa; Chordata; Amphibia; Anura; Microhylidae.
ACAAAAUGUAGCUUAAAAUAAAGCAUCUCGCUUACACCGAGGGUACGUCCGUGAAAAUCAGACCGUUUUGA